RNAcentral lists this ribosomal RNA (253 nucleotides) under uncultured bacterium. RNAcentral's name for it is "partial 16S ribosomal RNA". It matches the Rfam family "Bacterial small subunit ribosomal RNA", at positions 524 to 776 of the family's 1533-position model. The record is from RNAcentral.
UACGAAGGGGGCGAGCGUUGCUCGGAAUUACUGGGCGUAAAGCGCGCGUAGGCGGAUCGUUAAGUCGGGGGUGAAAUCCUGGAGCUCAACUCCAGAACUGCCUUUGAUACUGGCGAUCUUGAGUCCGGGAGAGGUGAGUGGAACUCCGAGUGUAGAGGUGAAAUUCGUAGAUAUUCGGAAGAACACCAGUGGCGAAGGCGGCUCACUGGCCCGGUACUGACGCUGAGGUGCGAAAGCGUGGGGAGCGAACAGG